UACGUAGGGUGCAAGCGUUGUCCGGAAUUAUUGGGCGUAAAGAGCUCGUAGGCGGUCUGUCGCGUCGGAUGUGAAAAUCCAGGGCUCAACCCUGGACCUGCAUUCGAUACGGGCAGACUAGAGUUCGGUAGGGGAGACUGGAAUUCCUGGUGUAGCGGUGAAAUGCGCAGAUAUCGGGAGGAACACCGGUGGCGAAGGCGGUUCUCUGGGCCUGACCUGACGCUGAGGAGCGAAAGCGUGGGGAGCGAACAGG
Molecule: ribosomal RNA, 253 nt
Filed under: uncultured bacterium
Lineage: Bacteria
Description: partial 16S ribosomal RNA
Rfam family: Bacterial small subunit ribosomal RNA
Source: RNAcentral